UAAAGGUGAAGCCUGCCCAGUGACAAUAAGUUCAACGGCCGCGGUAUCCUAACCGUGCAAAGGUAGCGCAAUCAAUUGUCCCAUAAAUCGGGACUUGUAUGAAUGGCUUAACGAGGUCUUAACUGUCUCCUACGGAUAAUCAGUGAAAUUGAUCUUCCUGUGCAAAAGCAGGAAUAACUUCAUAAGACAAGAAGACCCUGUGGAACUUUAAAACCUGCUACCAUCCCCACCAACAAUUUUCCUCCACAGGACCCACUCCCUCGGAUUUUACUGGUACGCAUUUUUUGGUUGGGGCGACCUUGGAGAUAAACUUAACCUCCAAAAACCGGAUAACCCAUCUUGACCAAGAACAACUCAUCAACGUGCUAAUAGUAGCCAGACCCAAUAUAAUUGACUAAUGAACCUAGCUACCCCAGGGAUAACAGCGCAAUCUCCUUCAAGAGCCCACAUCGACAAGGAGGUUUACGACCUCGAUGUUGGAUCAGGACAUCCUAGUGGUGCAACCGCUACCAAGGGUUCGUUUGUUCAACGAUUAA
This 536-nucleotide ribosomal RNA is filed under the name Pseudopipra pipra. RNAcentral's name for it is "Dixiphia pipra partial 16S ribosomal RNA". It matches the Rfam family "Bacterial large subunit ribosomal RNA", at positions 1847 to 2591 of the family's 2925-position model. The record is from RNAcentral. Lineage: Eukaryota; Metazoa; Chordata; Aves; Passeriformes; Pipridae.